UACGGAGGGUGCAAGCGUUAAUCGGAAUCACUGGGCGUAAAGCGCUCGUAGGCUGUUUGGUCAGUCAGACGUGAAAGCCCGCGGCUCAACCGCGGAACUGCGUUUGAUACUGCCAGACUUGAGUGUCGGAGAGGGUGGCGGAAUUCCGGGUGUAGGAGUGAAAUCCGUAGAUAUCCGGAGGAACACCAGUGGCGAAGGCGGCCACCUGGACGACAACUGACGCUGAGGAGCGAAAGCGUGGGUAGCAAACAGGAUUAGAUACCCUGGUAGUCCACGCGGUAAACGAUGGAUGCUGGGUGUCGGGGGUUUACCUUCGGUGCCGCAGUUAACGCGUUAAGCAUCCCGCCUGGGGAGUACGGUCGCAAGGCUGAA
This 372-nucleotide ribosomal RNA is filed under the name uncultured bacterium. RNAcentral's name for it is "bacterial SSU rRNA". It matches the Rfam family "Bacterial small subunit ribosomal RNA", at positions 524 to 898 of the family's 1533-position model. The record is from RNAcentral.